GACGAACGCUGGCGGCGUGCUUAACACAUGCAAGUCGAACGGAAAGGCCCUGCUGUUGUGUGGUGCUCGAGUGGCGAACGGGUGAGUAACACGUGAGUAACCUGCCGUUGACUUUGGGAUAACUACAGGAAACUGGGGUUACUAACGGAUAGGAGCUCCUGCUGCAUGGUGGGGGUGGGAAAGUGUCGGCGGUUGGUGAUGGACGCGCGGCUGAUCAGCUUGUUGGUGGGGGAGUGGCUUACCAAGGCGUUGACGGGUAGCCGGCCUGAGAGGGUGGCCGGCCACAUUGGUCCUGCGGUACGGACCAGACUGCUACGGGAGGCAGCAGUGGGGAACCUGGUACAAUGGGCGGACGCCUGAUGAAGAAACGCUGCGUGCGGGAUGACGGCCUUCGGGUUGUGAACCGAUUUCGCCUGUGACGAAGCGUGAGUGACGGUAAUGGGUGAAGAAGCACCGGCUAACUACGUG
RNAcentral lists this ribosomal RNA (468 nucleotides) under uncultured bacterium. RNAcentral describes it as "partial 16S ribosomal RNA". It matches the Rfam family "Bacterial small subunit ribosomal RNA", at positions 28 to 507 of the family's 1533-position model. The record is from RNAcentral.